This 72-nucleotide small RNA is filed under the name Polaribacter sp. KT 15. RNAcentral describes it as "Flavo-1 RNA". It matches the Rfam family "Flavo-1 RNA". Lineage: Bacteria; Pseudomonadati; Bacteroidota; Flavobacteriia; Flavobacteriales; Flavobacteriaceae. The record is from RNAcentral.
GUUUAGCCCUGAUUGCAGCGGCAUCCUUUUUUAUUUUUCUUAAAAAAGAUAUAGCGGAAAGCAGGAAAUAGC